RNAcentral lists this ribosomal RNA (397 nucleotides) under uncultured bacterium. RNAcentral's name for it is "partial 16S ribosomal RNA". It matches the Rfam family "Bacterial small subunit ribosomal RNA", at positions 523 to 918 of the family's 1533-position model. The record is from RNAcentral.
AUACGUAGGGGGCGAGCGUUGUCCGGAAUGAUUGGGCGUAAAGGGCGCGUAGGCGGCCCGGUAAGUCUGAAGUGAAAGUCCUGCUUUUAAGGUGGGAAUUGCUUUGGAUACUGUCGGGCUUGAGUGCAGGAGAGGUAAGUGGAAUUCCCAGUGUAGCGGUGAAAUGCGUAGAGAUUGGGAGGAACACCAGUGGCGAAGGCGACUUACUGGACUGUAACUGACGCUGAGGCGCGAAAGUGUGGGGAGCAAACAGGAUUAGAUACCCUGGUAGUCCACGCUGUAAGCGAUGAAUGCUAGGUGUAGGGGGUAUCGACCCCUUCUGUGCCGCAGUAAACACAAUAAGCAUUCCGCCUGGGGAGUACGGCCGCAAGGUUGAAACUCAAAGGAAUUGACGGGG